Molecule: ribosomal RNA, 253 nt
Filed under: uncultured bacterium
Lineage: Bacteria
Description: partial 16S ribosomal RNA
Rfam family: Bacterial small subunit ribosomal RNA
Source: RNAcentral
UACGUAGGGCGCAAGCGUUGUCCGGAUUCAUUGGGCGUAAAGAGCUCGUAGGCGGUUCGAUAAGUCGGGUGUGAAACCUCCAGGCUCAACCUGGGAACUGCAUCCGAUACUGGAUGGCUUGAAUUCGGGAGAGGGAUGCAGAAUUCCAGGUGUAGCGGUGAAAUGCGUAGAUAUCUGGAGGAAUACCGGUGGCGAAGGCGGCAUCCUGGACCGACAUUGACGCUGAUGAGCGAAAGCUAGGGGAGCAAACGGG